UACGGGGGGAGCAAGCGUUGUCCGGAAUCAUUGGGCGUAAAGGGCGUGUAGGCGGUUUGGCAAGUCGAGUGUGAAAUCCCACGGCUCAACCGUGGAACUGCGCUCGAAACUGCCUUACUUGAGUGCGGGAGAGGUGUGCGGAAUUCCUGGUGUAGCGGUGGAAUGCGUAGAUAUCAGGAAGAACACCGGUGGCGAAGGCGGCACACUGGCCCAGCACUGACGCUGAGGCGCGAAAGCGUGGGGAGCGAACGGGAUUAGAUACCCCGGUAGUCCACGCUGUAAACUUUGGGCACUAGGUAUUGGAGGUCUCAACCCCUUCAGUGCCGUAGCUAACGCGUUAAGUGCCCCGCCUGGGGAGUACGGUCGCAAGGCUGAA
This 376-nucleotide ribosomal RNA is filed under the name uncultured bacterium. RNAcentral describes it as "bacterial SSU rRNA". It matches the Rfam family "Bacterial small subunit ribosomal RNA", at positions 524 to 898 of the family's 1533-position model. The record is from RNAcentral.